GUACUGAUGAAGAGUCCCAAAGAAGGGGGACGAAACAUCUGUCCGGUAU
RNAcentral lists this non-coding RNA (49 nucleotides) under Trichobilharzia regenti. The record is from RNAcentral. Lineage: Eukaryota; Metazoa; Platyhelminthes; Trematoda; Strigeidida; Schistosomatidae.